Molecule: ribosomal RNA, 253 nt
Filed under: uncultured prokaryote
Description: partial 16S ribosomal RNA
Rfam family: Bacterial small subunit ribosomal RNA
Source: RNAcentral
UACGGAGGGUGCGAGCGUUAUUCGGAAUUACUGGGCGUAAAGCGCGUGUAGGCGGUUUUUUAAGUCUGAUGUGAAAGCCCUGGGCUCAACCCGGGAAGUGCAUUGGAAACUGGGAGACUUGAAUACGGGAGAGGGCAGUGGAAUUCCUGGUGUAGGAGUGAAAUCCGUAGAUAUCAGGAGGAACACCGGUGGCGAAGGCGGCUGCCUGGACCGAUAUUGACGCUGAGACGCGAAAGCGUGGGGAGCAAACAGG